GACGAACGCUGGCGGCGUGCUUAACACAUGCAAGUCGAACGGAAAGGCCCCUUUGGGGGUACUCGAGUGGCGAACGGGUGAGUAACACGUGAGUAACCUGCCCUUGACUUCGGGAUAACUUCAGGAAACUGGGGCUAAUACCGGAUAGGAAUCCUUGCUGCAUGGUGGGGGUUGGAAAGCUUCGGCGGUUUUGGAUGGACUCGCGGCUUAUCAGCUUGUUGGUGGGGUAGUGGCUUACCAAGGCUUUGACGGGUAGCCGGCCUGAGAGGGCGAACGGCCACAUUGGGACUGAGAUACGGCCCAGACUCCUACGGGAGGCAGCAGUGGGGAAUAUUGCACAAUGGGCGGAAGCCUGAUGCAGCAACGCCGCGUGCGGGAUGACGGCCUUCGGGUUGUAAACCGCUUUCAGCAGGGGCGAAGCUUGUGGUGACGGUACCUGCAGAAGAAGCACCGGCUAACUACGUG
This 465-nucleotide ribosomal RNA is filed under the name uncultured bacterium. RNAcentral's name for it is "partial 16S ribosomal RNA". It matches the Rfam family "Bacterial small subunit ribosomal RNA", at positions 28 to 507 of the family's 1533-position model. The record is from RNAcentral.